Molecule: ribosomal RNA, 718 nt
Filed under: uncultured Staphylococcus sp.
Lineage: Bacteria; Bacillati; Bacillota; Bacilli; Caryophanales; Staphylococcaceae
Description: bacterial SSU rRNA
Rfam family: Bacterial small subunit ribosomal RNA
Source: RNAcentral
AGUCGAGCGAACGGACGAGAAGCUUGCUUCUCUGAUGUUAGCGGCGGACGGGUGAGUAACACGUGGAUAACCUACCUAUAAGACUGGGAUAACUUCGGGAAACCGGAGCUAAUACCGGAUAAUAUUUUGAACCGCAUGGUUCAAAAGUGAAAGACGGUCUUGCUGUCACUUAUAGAUGGAUCCGCGCUGCAUAAGCUAGUUGGUAAGGUAACGGCUUACCAAGGCAACGAUGCAUAGGCCGACCUGAGAGGGUGAUCGGCCACACUGGAACUGAGACACGGUCCAGACUCUUACGGGAGGCUGCAGUAGGGAAUCUUCCGCAAUGGGCGAAAGCCUGACGGAGCAACGCCGCGUGAGUGAUGAAGGUCUUCGGAUCGUACAACUCUGUUAUUAGGGAAGAACAUAUGUGUAAGUAACUGUGCACAUCUUGACGGUACCUAAUCAGAAAGCCACGGCUAACUACGUGCCAGCAGCCGCGGUAAUACGUAGGUGGCAAGCGUUAUCCGGAAUUAUUGGGCGUAAAGCGCGCGUAGGCGGUUUUUUAAGUCUGAUGCGAAAGCCCACGGCUCAACCGUGGAGGGUCAUUGGAAACUGGAAAACUUGAGUGCAGAAGAGGAAAGUGGAAUUCCAUGUGUAGCGGUGAAAUGCGCAGAGAUAUGGAGGAACACCAGUGGCGAAGGCGACUUUCUGGUCUGUAACUGACGCUGAUGUGCGAAAG